This 576-nucleotide ribosomal RNA is filed under the name Rhinella hoogmoedi. RNAcentral describes it as "LSU rRNA". It matches the Rfam family "Bacterial large subunit ribosomal RNA", at positions 1819 to 2610 of the family's 2925-position model. Lineage: Eukaryota; Metazoa; Chordata; Amphibia; Anura; Bufonidae. The record is from RNAcentral.
CGCCUCUUGAACUUUAUAAGAGGUCCAGCCUGCCCAGUGACUCUGUUCAACGGCCGCGGUAUCCUAACCGUGCGAAGGUAGCGUAAUCACUUGUUCUUUAAAUGUGGACUAGUAUGAAUGGCACUACGAGGGUUAUACUGUCUCCUUUUUCUAAUCAGUGAAACUAAUUUUCCCGUGAAGAAGCGGGAAUAUAACUAUAAGACGAGAAGACCCUAUGGAGCUUUAAACAACCCAGCAAUUACUUCUAAAUUUUAAAUUUCAAAAUAUUCAUUCUUUAAGUAAUAUGUCUGCAAGUUUUUGGUUGGGGUGACCAUGGAGAAUAACAUAACCUCCAUAUUGAAUGAAUUCCCUUCUAAGCUGAAAAUCACCAAUUGAAGCAUCAACACACUGACAUCUAUUGACCCAAUAUAUUUGAUCAACGAACCAAGUUACCCUAGGGAUAACAGCGCAAUCCACUUCAAGAGCCCCUAUCGACAAGUGGGUUUACGACCUCGAUGUUGGAUCAGGGUAUCCCAGUGGCGCAGCUGCUACUAAAGGUUCGUUUGUUCAACGAUUAAAACCCUACGUGAUCUGAGU